UAGAGUUUGAUCCUGGCUCAGGAUGAACGCUGGCGGCGUGUUUGAGGCAUGCAAGUCGAAAGGGUUUAGACCCUUGGCAGACGNGUGCGUAAGACAGUGGUAAUUUACCCUGAAGUUCGGGAUAACUCCGCGAAAGCGGUGAUAAUACCGGAUAGUCAAGGGGGGACGAAAGUCAUUCCCUUGUAAAGCCCCUUAAAAGGCGCUUUGGGAAAAGCCUUAGGCCCAUCAGCUAGUUGGUGAGGUAAUAGCUCACCAAGGCGAUGACGGGUAGCGGGUGUGAGAGCAUGACCCGCCUCACUGGGACUGAGACACUGCCCAGACUCCUACGGGAGGCUGCAGUCGAGAAUCUUCCCCAAUGGACGAAAGUCUGAGGGAGCGACGCCGCGUAACUGAUGAAGACCUUCGGGUUGUAAAGGUUUUUUUUCUGGGAAAAAUUCGUGAUGGUACCAGAAGAAUAAGAGGUUGCUAACUCUGUGCCAGCCGCCGCGGUAAUACA
Molecule: ribosomal RNA, 496 nt
Filed under: uncultured bacterium
Lineage: Bacteria
Description: bacterial SSU rRNA
Rfam family: Bacterial small subunit ribosomal RNA
Source: RNAcentral